CAGAGAGACUGUCUGAAGAUAAGCCUAGAAUGAAAAGUACACAGUACUACCUGACAUUUGUGGUCACCGUAAAAACAGGUUCACUAAAUAAUAGCCUACUUAUGUUGCCAGUUGCUGGAAUUGUUCCAGAGCAGCUUAAAUUGUAAAAGUCCACCUGACAGCUCUCAGGAACCAAGAAAAUGCAGAAGUUGAGCCUGGCUCCGACUCCAGUGGAAGGCUGCAGAACUGACAAGGAAUGUGCUGCAAAUCCUGCAAGGAGCAUCAGGGAAGAAAAGAAUGUGUACUGUCUUCAUUGAAACCAUGCUCAUGAGGCCCAGCUGAACAGGUCAGUCAAAGGCUUUAGCUUGAAGAAUACACUGAGAGAGCACAGAGGUGUCC
Molecule: long non-coding RNA, 378 nt
Filed under: Apteryx rowi (Okarito brown kiwi)
Lineage: Eukaryota; Metazoa; Chordata; Aves; Apterygiformes; Apterygidae
Description: lncRNA (ENSARWG00000005878.1)
Source: RNAcentral